This 2439-nucleotide long non-coding RNA is filed under the name Sus scrofa (pig). RNAcentral describes it as "lncRNA (ENSSSCG00035069972.1)". The record is from RNAcentral. Lineage: Eukaryota; Metazoa; Chordata; Mammalia; Artiodactyla; Suidae.
CACAAUGAAGCUUGAAACCAGUCAAGCAUUUUUUAUUAAAAAAAAAAAAGUCUAAUGGUAAGGUAUAUAGUCUAUACAUGCUACAGCUAAUUCACUGUUCACCACCCCUCCCCCUCACAUGAUAUAGCCUCAUGUAAUUUGUGUGUGUGUGUGUGUGUGUGUGUGUGUGUUAAAAGGAAACAAAAAACACCACCAGAAUCUGUCAGCUUGCCAAGGGCAGUGAAAGGGGUGCUGCUAUUAACAGUUAUGUGGGCACAGUGGCACCGAGAGGCUUACACUGGGGUAAGGCUUACACGGGGUACCUUGGUUGUCAUAAAGCUUGUUGCUGUCAUAAGCCUGGUGGGGGCACCUCCUUUUGUAUGUUUAUAGAAGACCGGAGAUUCAAGGUUACCGGCUUGGCACUGGGUUUAGCCUCUUCAAGGACAAUAAAGGUUUGAAGCCCUUGUCCCUGACUGGAGCCUGCUUUGGAGUAGAAGACAAAAACGGGGAAGGUGGAACAUCAAAAUACGGUGGAACAGCUUGAGAACUCGGCAGGGUAGCACCAGAAAGCAGACUCUGCCCCCCGGGCCUGGACAGUCACGUCUACGAGGAGGGUGCAGGAGCACAGACUCGGGAGCCUCCUGGUUUUAACUCUGCAGCCUCACAACUCUGUCGGUGACCUUCGUAGACUGAGGUCCAUCUAGACAUUAGACCCUUAGCCAACUUAGGAGCGAUUCCUCCCUGCACCCUCAGGCCUCAGGGCAAAGCCAGCUUCCUAGGCAUUCAGGCCACACGGGUGGACAACAGGUCAUCUUUGGUCUAUGGUGUGGGAUGGCUGUUUGCAGCGCAAGCCCUGAAGGAUGGGCCUGGACAGCCCAGGAGGAGACAAGACUGCCUCUUGUGACGCAGGCUGUUGUGUGUUCAUGGUACGGCCCAAUGUGAAGGGUGAGACCUCCCGGGGAGCAGCCUGAGCCAACAUCUAAAAGACGCAGGCACGACGAGAGGACGGCAGCCAAGCUACGAAUGUUCUCGUUCUUGAUGAUGUCCAGUUGCCAGCUUUGUGAGGGCAGGAGCGAUUUCUUCUUCAUCCCACUCAGGGCUGCGUACUCGGUACAGACUGAAUAAAUUCUAGACGGUCCGUCCCUUAGCCUAAGCACAGGGCCUUCCAAAUCUUGGGGAGACUUGGCAUCUGUUCUUUAAAGUGGCAAGUUUGUUUUCCUACAGUCUACCUGGUAAGGAAAUCCCCAGUGGGCCCAGACAUGUUUUAAGGCCAAGGAAUUUGCUUAAGAAAUCAGUCACAUAGACAGGUCUGGUGGAGGUCAGGUAACAUCGCUAUGGGAAGCCUGGUAGGACUCCAGCAAUUUCCCCGGGGAGGGCAGAGGCAUUAACAGUGGUUUGGGCUGCAGUCCAGCUGUCCCCAAGCCUCAUCCUGGGACACGGACAGAAACCCACCAAACGACAAAGAAAUUCUAAGUAAAAAACUUGAGCAAAGGCCUGUGUUCUCAAGCAGUGGUCCUAAAACUCAGAUUUUCUAAAGAUUUGGUUGCUACCACUAGGGGCAGUUUUGCCCUUGGAUAUAAGAUAAAAGAGCCAUCCCAAGGGAGUAUGGAGGGGUGAGAAACAGAAGAAAAGCCACCCUUGCCUGGCUUUGGGGGCUGGCAUUUGGCCUGUGACCUACUAAUGUGUGAUCGUGGGGUGAGGGGAGAAAACCCUACAUGAAAAGGGAGGGUCACCUGCUUCCCUCAAAGUGCCUUGGACACUUGGCAGCUGAUGGCAGAGGAAAAGUCAUGAGCACUGGGGAGAAAAACUCCCGGACUUGAGUCUCAGCUUGGUCGCUCUCUGGAUGAAGCUGAGCAGGUGAUUUCAUCCUCUGGACCACAAUUUUCUCACUACAGAUCGGGGCAGAGCUUAUGCACCUCCCAGGGCUGAAGUGACAAUUAAGUUCAAGGAAGGGGCAUGUUUAAGCACCGGGAACCUGCCCGGAGCUUGGCAGAGGGGUUAUUCCUAUGGCCCUGGACAUUUGGUGUGGCGGUAACUCCAGGGGGGUUUGCAUGUGCAAACAAAAGCUCACAGAAUCGAGGCAAAAGUCCUGGAUGGUGUAAAGCGAAGUCCCCAGGUGGGGACAGCUAGUGAGAGCCACUGGCCAUCAAGACCGUCCCUUGCAGCUGCCUGGGGAAGGGCCAUUGCUGUGGCACAAGGAGCUGGAGAAAGGAAUCCUCAGGACACAGAGGUGCCCUGCGGAAGCAACGGUGAACACAGAGAAAUGUGGCUUUAGUACCUUCAGUUCAUGUCAGAACCAUCAUCAUCAUCAAAAGGCGGAUUCUUUCAUUUGCAGGAAAAGCUUUCUGCCCAGAGAAAGGCAGAACCAGCCCAUUCCCACCCAGCCGUCCCCUGGGAGGAAGGGAAUGAGGCCAGCGACAACCCCCUUCCAUGGAAUCUGCACACAACGACCCAGUCUCU